This is a small nuclear RNA of Ochotona princeps (American pika), 104 nucleotides long. The record is from Ensembl. Lineage: Eukaryota; Metazoa; Chordata; Mammalia; Lagomorpha; Ochotonidae.
GUGCUCGCUUCAGCAGCACAUAUACUAAAAUUUGAAUGCUACAGAGAUUGCCAUGGCCCCUGCACAAGGAUGACAUGCAAAUUCGUGAAGAGGGUCUCUUAUCU